Molecule: long non-coding RNA, 538 nt
Organism: Felis catus (domestic cat)
Lineage: Eukaryota; Metazoa; Chordata; Mammalia; Carnivora; Felidae
Exons: 2
Source: RefSeq, a predicted model, not a curated record
GGAAAGAAUGUUUGGAGGAUUGAGUGGACCCUGGAGGAUAUUUUCUCCAAGACACUUUUGAUAAAAGCAGCUUUAUAGGAGUGGCUCUGGAAGCUGGAGAUAGUAAUCUGUGAGCAACCUCAAUACAUAAGAAUGAGAAACUACUUCUGUUUUGAUGUUUUUUUCCCUUAAAUGAUCUAACUGAAUAGGACUAUGGCAAAGAGCUCAUCCUACCAAGGCCAACUUGGUAGUAGGCCACCUUGAUGCUAUCAAUUUUGCAUUCCCAGCUGGUGUCCUUGUGUGGUUUUAAUAGGACGUCCUGCGCGUGGCCCUUACAAACUCCCCACUGCUUGCUGAGAUGGAUUAAAAGAUGCAAACUCACUGAAAUACGCCAAGGAAUAUAAUGGUCUCUACAGAAGAUCUGGCUGUGUCAACCAACAAAAAGUUCCAGCUGUGGCAGCCGUGUGGAACAAAGGGAACUCUUGGCUUAAUGUGGAGUACAUGCUUCUGACGUUCCAGUUCAGGCAAGAAAUAAAUAAAGCUAUUACAAAGCCCUUGA